GACGAACGCUGGCGGCGUGCUUAACACAUGCAAGUCGAACGGAAAGGCCCUGCUUUUGUGGGGUGCUCGAGUGGCGAACGGGUGAGUAACACGUGAGUAACCUGCCCUUGACUUUGGGAUAACUUCAGGAAACUGGGGCUAAUACCGGAUAGGAGCUCCUGCUGCAUGGUGGGGGUUGGAAAGUUUCGGCGGUUGGGGAUGGACUCGCGGCUUAUCAGCUUGUUGGUGGGGUAGUGGCUUACCAAGGCUUUGACGGGUAGCCGGCCUGAGAGGGUGACCGGCCACAAUGGGACUGAGGUACGGCCCAGACUCCUACGGGAGGCAACAGGGGGGAGUAUUGCACAAUGGGCCGGAGCCUGAUGCAACAACGCCGCGUGCGGGAUGACGGCCUUCGGGUUGUAAACCGCUUUCGCCUGUGACGAAGCGGGAGUGACGGUAAUGGGUAAAGAAGCACCGGCUAACUACGUG
Molecule: ribosomal RNA, 468 nt
Filed under: uncultured bacterium
Lineage: Bacteria
Description: partial 16S ribosomal RNA
Rfam family: Bacterial small subunit ribosomal RNA
Source: RNAcentral